This is a long non-coding RNA of Pseudopipra pipra, 3961 nucleotides long. RefSeq lists it as uncharacterized. The record is from RefSeq and is a predicted model, not a curated record. The transcript is spliced from 8 exons. NCBI's taxonomy places the organism in Eukaryota, Metazoa, Chordata, Aves, Passeriformes, Pipridae.
AGGUUGUCUAUUUGCCAGACUCACCCAAACCUGUGUUAGGAAGAGAUUGAGUGGAAAAGUUGAGGCAGAAAUGAAAUGGAAAACUGGGGAUAAUGAAACUGUAAUUGCUGGAACUAAAUGUGUCCAAGCAGCAGCUCUUGUUGUGCAGGGAAUAACUCCUGUCAGCAGCAAGGUCCCGACUGAAGUGGCAGCUGCAGUUGUUCCUGUCGUGUGGGCCAGUGGAAUUGCAGGAGAGUGGGAGAGGGCAGAACCUGACGUGAAUGCAAGAACCUGCCAAGUAAACCAGUGGCCAAGAUGAUUUAUUAGUGCGGGACCUGAGAGAAGCACCUUGAAUGACAACCUCGAGCAGUUUCCAGUACUGGAUUGCAAAGAUGGCCUUUGCUGCAUCUGCUUGAGCAAGGAAAGCCAAGAAACCUUUGCUUUGGCAGGAGAAAAUCCAGAAAGCGGGAAGGAAGUAAAGAAGCUCCCUGACUCCUCCUGAGCCCCAGACAGCCCAUGAACUGCCUUCCUGGGAAUGGUAGGACAGGGUGGACUCUGGAUUGCUCCCUCUGGAUGUGUGGCUCUCCCCUCAGGAACUCCAGGAACUCCUGGUGCCGCCUGGGCCGAUGGAUUGGACGCCCCAGCCCCUCCGUUCCUGCCCAGCCACUGGGUCCGUGUUCAGUGGUGGCACUGCCAGCCCUGCAGGUGAAGUGGGAAGGGCCUUUCCAGGUCUUGUGGGUCACAUUUAUAGCAGCUGACAUUGCAGAAAAAGGACCUGGGGUUUCUUCUUCUUUAGUUCAGAAAGCUCCUUUUGAUUGGUGAGCAGGACAAAGUGGAUCCUUCAGAGUUCCCAUCCGUGUUUGUGUCUCAGCCUGUGUUAGGAUUCAGGGCUGUAGCUGUUGUUGUCACUGAGGAGUCAAACUCUGCUUUAAAUCAUGAGACACUGGCCUGAUGGCCAAGUGUCAAGAAUAAAGGGGGAAUGAUAUCUGAGUGUUGAGAUGUAACAAGAGCUGAUCCUUUUUGCAGUGGGAUGUGGCCUGGAAAGUGCACAGAGCUGAGCCAAGGGAUUGAAAGGGACCAAGCAAGCGAGGUGAAGAAAGAAGGAAGAAGGGAAGUGAGGAAUGAGCCAAGCAGCACCAAGUUGCUGUGUAAGCAGGGAAUAACUCCUGUCAGCAGCAAGGUCCCGACUGAAGUGGCAGCUGCAGUUGUUCCUGUGGUGUGGGCCAGUGGAAUUGCAGGAGAGUGGAAGAGGGCAGAACCUGUAGGUAUUACCCCUAAUGAGGGAUCUCUCCUGGUAAGGCAAACCCAGUAUCCUUUAAAAUCAGAAUGCCAGACUGGAUUGGUUGCAGUAACAGCUAAAUUGGCUCAUCCUGGUUUGCUUGUAGGAUGUGAAUGCACGAACCUGCCAAGAAAACCAAUGUCCAAGGUGAUUGAUUAGUGCAGGACCUGAGAGAACCACCUUGAAUGACAACCUUAGGUUUAAAAGAUGGCUGUUGCUUUUGAAGGAGAAAAUCUGGAAAGCAGGAAGGAAGAAAAGAAGCCACCUGACUCCUCCCUGAGCCCCAGACAGCCCAUGAACUGCCUUGCUGGGAAUGGUGGGACGGGAUGGACUCUGGAUUGCUCCCUCUGGAUGUGUGUGGGAUGUAGCUUGGAAACUGCACAGAGCUGAGCGAAGGGAUUGAAAGGGACCAAGCAAUGGAGGUGAAGAAAGAAGGGAAGUGAGGCAGCAGGCAAGCAGCAGCAAGUUGCUGUGUAAGCAGGUGAGUUGUGUUGAGGUUCCUAAGGCAGGCACUGAGGACUUUGAGGGCUCCAGACAGAGCAGACCUGGGAAGGCCCUUGGUGAAGCCCCUUGGAAACCUUCUAAGAGUAGGUGUGUAUGGUAAUAAGUGUUGGAGAAUGUCCUGACUGUGGAACAGGAAUGCAGGGAAGGAAAAUGAAUCCUCCUGUAUUGCUGCCAUAUCAGCUGCAGUGGAGAUACCUGUGUGUGCAAUUUGGGAGCUGAUUGCCAGGGCACCAGUGGGGCUGGGAUCAUGGCAGGGUGUUGUAAGCAAGGAAUGACUGGCUUCUAAAACUCACCAGCUGAGUCUUAGAGGCUUUUUUGAAGAGCUGAAUUCAGGCAGGAAAAUUGGCCCCCAGGAGGGACUCUGUGCCUGCUCUCCCGUGGCUCCAAGGGAUCUCUGGCCCUUCACGCCGGCACCGAGAUUUUCUCGGGAAGGGCCUCAGAUCCCCGGACCAGUCUGGGACACAGGCAAGAUCCCCCUGCCUUUAGAAAUGAGGCCUUCUUGUGGCUUCCUCCCCGUACCCAUUGGUGGGUUCCAAAGAAGGCCUCUUGAAAUGGCUUUUGGGCUGUCCAUGGCAAGCUUGAGACCAAAUUGGCCCCCUGGAGGGACAGUGCUGUUGGUGCCCCCCGGGUUGGGGCACCCCGAGGACUCCAGCGCGCACCGAAAGGAUUAUUCGGGGAGAUCCUCGGGGUGCCCGGCCCUGGGGAGCUCAAAGCAAGGUCCCUGCAAUGGAUUCAGGCAUUCCUGAGAGUAUCCCAGGGGUACCUGUCCCUGCUGGACAUGGAGCUCUCUAAUGGACUGUAAUUUUGUUCUAAAAGUGGUGCUCCAAGUGCCAAAGCAGUGUGGGAUUGGGAUUAAGAAAUGAGCAGUGAUGGUCCAAUUGGCUGUUUUCUCUGGAAUGUAAUGGUAAGAGCUGCAGGAGUGCCAGGUGUGUGUUCCAGUCCCCAGCAUUUGGUUUGCACAUGUCCUGGUCAGACACAGGUCCAACUUCCUCAGUCCUUAACCUAGUAGAGGGAGAAUUAAGGACUGGCAGUGUUAAGGUGAUUGGUGUGACAGAGGUUAAACUGGGAAAACAUUGGGGAAUUCCUCAGUUUGUCUAUUGCCCAAACUCACCCAAACUUGUGCUAGGAAGAGAUGGACUGGAAAAGUUGAGGCAGAAAUGAAAUGGAAAACUGGGGCUAUUGAAACUGUAAUUGCUGGAACUAAAUGUGUCCAAGCAGCAGCUCUUGUUGUGCAGGGAAUAACUCCUGUCAGCAGCAAGGUCCCGACUGAAGUGGCAGCUGCAGUUGUUCCUGUGGUGUGGGCCAGUGGAACUGCAGGAGAGUGGAAGAGGGCAGAACCUGUAGGACGUGAAUGCAAGAACCUGCCAAGGAACCAAUGACCAAGAUGAUUGAUGAGUGCAGGACCUGAGAGAAGCACCUUGAAUGACAACCUCGAGCUGUUUCCAGUAUUGGAUUGAAGAGAUGGCCUUUGCUGCAUCUCCUUGAGCAAGGAAAGCCAAGAAACCUUUGCUUUGGAAGGAGAAAAUGGGGAAAGCAGGAAGGAAGAAAAGAAGCCCCCUGACUCCUCCCUGAGCCCCAGACAGCCCAUGAACUGCCUUGCUGGGAAUGGUAGGACGGGGUGGACUCUGGAUUGCUCCCUCUGGAUGUGUGUGGGAUGUAGCCUGGAAAGUGCACAGAGCUGAGCCAAGGGAGUGAAAGGGACCAAGCAAGGGAGGUGAAGAAAGAAGGAAGAAGGGAAGUGAGGCAGCAGGCAAGCAGCAGCAAGUUGCUGUGUAAGCAGGCCAGGCCAAAGCCCUGAUCCAGCCCAGCUCUGCCAAGUGCCCUGGGCUGGGAGCAGCCAAAGGCAAGAGGCUGCAGCCCCGCCGGCCGGGCUGGGGGCUCCUGGUGCUGCCCGUGGGGUGGGGUAAGUCAGAGGGACACGUUUCUCUCCUCCUGCUGUUGGCAUUUGCUCCCUGGGCACUGACUCUGUUUCCCACUGCAGGCUGGUCCUUGCCCUGUGUGCUGGGAAGUGUGGAGAGGAAGGGGCGAAGGGCCAGGUGAGUGUGGGGUCCCCGAGCUGUGGGGUUGGGCUGUGCUGAGAGGGGCAGGUGGGUCCCCGUUGGUGAGCCUCAGCCUUGGUUUGGGGGUUCAGGAGCCCAGGGGGCCGAGCUGGGGGGUGUUUGCAGCUCUGCCAGGGCUGGAGCUGGGCUGGGCCGUGGG